Xyrichtys novacula (pearly razorfish) is the source of this 1354-nucleotide non-coding RNA. Lineage: Eukaryota; Metazoa; Chordata; Actinopteri; Labriformes; Labridae. The record is from the annotation of a GenBank genome assembly.
UCUGGGCAUUCAUUUCUUUAAGGGAUUAGAUUUCAUGUUAUAAUACUUAUAAUAAUUAAAUACUUGACUCGACUUACAUGAAUACAUUUAGACUACAUUGUCCUCAUGAACAGCAGCUAAACUCAAUAAGCAAAAUUCAGACAAUAAGGCACCUCACUAGUGAGCAUGGGUGAUUAAGAGAUGCACUUCACUUUACUUUAACUUUAUUAUGUCCCAAAAUGGGCAAAUCGUGUUGCAGCAGGCACAGGCAUUGAAAACACUUCCAUACAUCAUAAAAUAAAAUAAAAUAAAAUACAUUUACAUUACAAUUCAGAAGGUAAAAAGCAUUAAAGACGAUUUAGAAGGUAAAAAGGCAUUUGUCAGUCAUACCACUGUUUUUGCAUGAGCAGAGUGCAUAAAAUGCAGAAAUAAAGUGCAAUAUGCAGUUUGUGAACCAAUAUGUACCGAUAUGCAAUGAUGAGGCUAGAUACAUAGAUAGAUAGAUAGAUAAAAUUUAUUGAUCGCAAACUGGGAAAUUCCCAUGUUACAGCAGCAAUAAAAACACAAAAUAAAAUGAAAUAUAAGAAUGUAAAAUACAGACUAAAUAUACUACAUAUAUACAAUAAAUACAGACUAAAUAUACUUAACAUCCUAAGAGAAAAAAGUAAGAUGAAAAAAGUGGGCUAUCCACUGGUAGUACUAAUAAGGAUGAUGAAGUGCAGUGUUAUAUGCAGUUCAGACAAAGAGCUAGUAUUAGCCAUGUUAAAAUAGGCUAAGCUAACUGUAGUUAAUCAGGUAUUCUGGUUUGUAUAGGCGUAUUUUUUCAAAGUUAGAAGCUACUACAUGGAAUAUUUAAUGAUGCAUUUCAGUUCAUGAGUUUUUGGUGGUCCUAAGUGGGAUUCUUCGAUUAUAAUGAAUGUGGGUCACAGUUUUCAGGCUUCGUAUUCACAACUACUGCGCCAUUACGCAUUGUAACCCUCAUGCGCCACAACACCAAAACAGCCUGGUGGGCCUGGGCUGUGAUAUUAAAAUGGCUGCAUCAUUUCCUACUCCGUCAUAACGGUGAAGAUAUAGCUUCCUGCAUCAUGUGUCGUUCUUGUUUUUCCAUCUUCCUCCUUUACUCCUCUGCAGCCUCUCGCUGCCUCUCAUCAUACUGACACUGACCCCUCUCUGUUCUUCGCCUUUCCCUCUCUCCCCUCCACGAGAUGCCGAGUACAAAAAUCCGCUACAGCGAAUUUCGUGUCCCUUGUUUCCUUAUAUGGUGAUCAGCGUCGCGGCCCGACCCCUCCUCGUGCCGUGAGCGAGGCGCGUGCACUGUCCGCCGCCGCCGCUCACCGUUCGCUUCCAUAUUUGGAAGUGAGUCCAACAAAACCCA